AUGACGACCGGCGCACGGGUGCGCACCGCGUAUGGAACCUGCCUUGUACAGGGGAAUAGCCCAGGGAAACUUGGAUUAAUGCCCCGUAGUACCGUAUUUCGGCAUCGUUAUACGGUUAAAGCCUUCGGGCGGUACAAGAUGGCCAUGCGUCCCAUUAGCUAGUUGGUAAGGUAACGGCUUACCAAGGCUACGAUGGGUAGGGGCCCUGAGAGGGGGAUCCCCCACACUGGUACUGAGACACGGACCAGACUCCUACGGGAGGCAGCAGUGAGGAAUAUUGGACAAUGGAGGAGACUCUGAUCCAGCCAUGCCGCGUGCAGGAAGAAUGCCCUAUGGGUAGUAAACUGCUUUUAUACGGGAAGAAAAAGAGCUACGUGUAGCUUACUGACGGUACCGUAAGAAUAAGGACCGGCUAACUCCGUGCCAGCAGCCGCGGUAAUACGGAGGGUCCGAGCGUUAUCCGGAAUUAUUGGGUUUAAAGGGUCCGUAGGCGGGCCGAUAAGUCAGGGGUGAAAGUCUGCCGCUCAACGGUAGAACUGCCUUUGAUACUGUCGGUCUUGAGUUAUAGUGAAGUUGCCGGAAUAUGUAGUGUAGCGGUGAAAUGCAUAGAUAUUACAUAGAACACCGAUUGCGAAGGCAGGUGACUAACUAUAUACUGACGCUGAUGGACGAAAGCGUGGGGAGCGAACAGGAUUAGAUACCCUGGUAGUCCACGCCGUAAACGAUGGAUACUAGCUGUCCGGAACCUUGAGUUCUGGGCGGCCAAGCGAAAGUGAUAAGUAUCCCACCUGGGGAGUACGUUCGCAAGAAUGAAACUCAAAGGAAUUGACGGGGGCCCGCACAAGCGGUGGA
This 852-nucleotide ribosomal RNA is filed under the name Maribacter dokdonensis. Its description in RNAcentral is "bacterial SSU rRNA". It matches the Rfam family "Bacterial small subunit ribosomal RNA", at positions 88 to 936 of the family's 1533-position model. Lineage: Bacteria; Pseudomonadati; Bacteroidota; Flavobacteriia; Flavobacteriales; Flavobacteriaceae. The record is from RNAcentral.